CCCCUGUUGACAACAAUUUCGGAAAGUUUCUCUGGAAAUUUUUUUUUGACAACUCGGGCAUAAUCCGAAAAAGUCAGGCAAAUUUCUUUCCGUCCACCUAAUUUUUUCCUUCCUGUAUGCCCAUGCUGAGGGUACAGUCACUAGUGGGGACAGAGUUGGGGUAAGGUUGGGGGCACCGACCCCCAGGAUAUUUCGAGAUUUUUGGCCUUGUUUUAAGUCUUAUUUAGUUCUUAUUUAGUUCAAUUAUACUGCUGUCAUUUAAUCAAACCAGCAUUUAAAUUUCUGGGGUGGGUGCAAAUAUCUCUAGGUGGGGUGGGAAAACUUUCUGAGGUGGUGAAAAUAUUUUUGGGGGUGCACACCACCUGCAUCCCCCCAAAAAAUCCAUAUAUGAUUGCCAUCAGAUAAUUAAGUUACUGUGGUAUUAAUUAUUAUGACUUCGCUUUUGGCUAUUCUGUAUUUUAAUGCCUUGUCCCAUGUUCUGUGAUGCCCGCAAUAUAACCAAUAAUUCCUGCAAGACAAAAGACAACAAUCAUAUUACACUAAUAUUAUUACACAUUUUCCCACCUCAAAAACAGCAUUUAUUAUCAAAAUUGUGGAUACUUCUUCUCAUCCAUAAAACUGCAUGUGUACUAAUUAAAGUAUUUUUACAUAGUACUGAAAUGGUGAAUCAUUAUCCACUAGUUAAUCAUAGUUUCUCUGUAACUAAUUCCAAGAAAGUCAAGACAAUGACAGGCAAAGAUAACAAUUUGUUCAAGAGAGAGGAAGGAUCCACAGUUAGGUUAAUUAAUAAAAACAUUCUUGCUGUAGUUCUUUGUGUAUUCCACUUGGUUGUGGAAAUACAUGUCCAGUACAUGAUUUUUUUUGUAAAUGAUUCUUACGGAUUGUUUUUAGGGACAAGUCAUUAUUAAUGCCGGGUAGGGGGCUGGAGGAAAUUUUUAUGAAUAGCAAAAAUUUCUCAUGACCCAUUAUUUUUCUAACAAAAUCAAAAUUUAUCCCCCCCCCCCCC
Non-coding RNA from Paramuricea clavata, 1006 nucleotides. NCBI's taxonomy places the organism in Eukaryota, Metazoa, Cnidaria, Anthozoa, Malacalcyonacea, Plexauridae. The record is from the annotation of a GenBank genome assembly.